Molecule: small RNA, 6794 nt
Filed under: Pongo abelii (Sumatran orangutan)
Lineage: Eukaryota; Metazoa; Chordata; Mammalia; Primates; Hominidae
Description: retained intron
Source: RNAcentral
AAGGGCCCUGAAACUAAAUGUGUCCCCUUAGGAAAGCAGGAGUUUUCUUGCAAGUGGCAAUCUUCCGCUUAUGUCUCAUCGGCCAGAGCUGGGUCUUACGGCCACCGCUUGCUGCAAGCAAGGCUGGGACAUUGAGCAUUUUGCCUUCCAGCCUCUUUAGCAGAAUAAACCAAGGGGGAAGAACGUUAAUAAUGGCUUUCGAGUCACUAGUUGGCAGUAUCUGCCCCUCUAUCUUUCCAUCCUCCCCAUGGAGUUUCAAGGUUCCUUUCUCAGUACUUCUUCAGGCUCUGCACAUUCAUUUGGAUCUUGUGUCUUGGGGUGAAAAACUGGCCCAAGUGUCUCCCCAAGCAUCCACCUUUGGAUUAAUCUGGAAAGUGGCUGUUGAGUGCCCGCCUCUUGCUUGGUAUAAUGCUACAGCUUUAGAGGACGCAGCAGGCGUGGGCCUUGCCGCUGAGGUUCUUAGCCUCAUAAGAAUAUCCAGAUCAGAUUCUCUUGGCUCCUUCUUAGAGCCAGUGACUCAAGACACUUCCUGCUCAUCUUGUCGGGACAGUUUUACAAGUUGCCUGCCAUCCUGAGAAAGUCUACAAAACGAUGCCAGACCUCAUGCCAGCUUCCCAAGCCUUGACUCUCAGUGCUCCCUCAACAGGAUUCUGGAAGAAUCUCCCAAACAAGUCUCAAUGCUCUCUGGACCCUGUGCAGGCGUGAGACUCAAGAGCAUUGGCUUCCACCCCUGGUGGAGGGAGCCCUGCUGGGGCUGGGAUCUUGCCUGGUUGCUCCGCCUGCACCCAAGACAAUCAUAAUUAAAAUGUCCUUCAUUGAACUUGGAAAGCCCUCAAAGCUGACAACUCCUUACGUGUACCCGGAAAGGCCUGGGAGUGUGCCAGGGCAUUGCUCGGGAGGAACGCUGAUUUGGAAGCAUUUACCUGAUGAGAGACUGACAGCAGCUCCUGGUAGCCGAGCUUUCCCUCCUGCCUCUGCUGUGAAGGUGCACCCAUCUGACAGUCAAAUGCCUGACUCUGGACAGGACCAGACCUAUUUAUUGCCAUGCAAGGGACUCUGCACUUUUGAAUUGUGGGUCAUGGGCUUGGAUUUAGGGGUUAGAGCUGGGAGAAGUCUUUGAAGUCACCUAGAGAUGACACUGCCAUUUUGCAGAUGAGGAAACCGUCCAAUCAAAAUGGACCAAGGACUUGCCCAAGCCUCACAGCAAAACCAUAGGCCCCCGCACUAACCCCGGAGUCCCUGUGCUGUCUUAAGGAUCAAAUAGUUGUGAGCAAUCAUCUGGUUUUCAGUAUUUCUUCUUUUAAAAUGCCUGGGGCCAUGCCCAGCAGUCUGUUUCACUGCAGCGUUUACACAGGGCUGCCGGGCUUUCCUGGUGGAUGAGCUGGGCGGUUCAUGAGCCAGAACCACUCAGCAGCAUGUCAGUGUGCUUCCUGGGGAGCUGGCAGCAGGGGCUCCAGGCCCUGCUUCAGGGCUGCUUUCUAGCAUAUGGCUGAUCGCCUCCUCACUCCUCCUCCCUGCAUUGCUCCUGCGCAAGAAGCAAAGGUGAGGGGCUGGGUGUGGCUCGUCCUGGCCCCUCUAAGGUGGUUCUUGGUGGUUUCUAGAUGUGACAGCGCCCUUAGUGGAUGAGAGAGCUCCUGGCGAGCAGGCUGCCGCCCAGCCCCACAUGGAGAUCCCAGAAGGAACCACAGGUGAGGGUGAGCCCUAGAGACCCCCGGGCAGUCAAGGCCCUGCUGGGUGCCCCAGCUGACCUGCGACAGAAGUGAGGGAGCUUUGCGUGUUUAUCCUCCUGUGGGGCAGGAACAUGGGUGGAUUCUGGCUCCUGGGAAUCUUGGGUUGUGAGUAGCUCGAUGCCUUGGUGCCCGGUUACCUCCCUGGCUGCCUGCCAGCCUCUCAGAGCAUUUAGGGCCUCCUGGACUUCUUCUAGAUGCUCCUUAUCUUGCCUCAGUCAGUGCGUCAGUUCCAGACACUUCUCUGCAGGGUUUUCUGGGGCAGGUGGUGGCAGACCCGUGCCUUCUUGACACCUGAGGUCAGUCCGCCCUCCUGCUCAGACUGCCCAGCAUAGGGUCACCUCCCAAGGGGUGGACCCCAAGAUCACCUGAGCGCAUAGUGGGUGCAGAUGACUGGACCACACCUUUUGGUGAUCUUAAUAAGGUGGUCCCAGAGGAGCUGAGACAUGCAAUCUAGCAUCCAGUUCUGGGACUCUGUCUCCUUUUCAGACGUAUUCGUGUAGAACAGGCAUGACGAAAAUGCCUUGUCAACAUGGGUGAUGGGGAAUCGAUCAGACAGGGUGCUGGGCUCAAGGCUGCAGUCACCCAAGAGUGGCUCAGCCCACCAGGCCCUAGGAAACGCCUGCACAGCCUGGAGCUCCUGGAGUCAUUUCCUUCAUGUCUUCUUCACUGCACUUACGUAAAGACGCCAGCCAUUGGUUUGGUGAUUUGGAGGGUGCCCAGUUGCCCAACAAGAAAUGCAGAAGAGGCCUAGACAGGAUUUCACCAGCAGUGGAGAGCAGGGAAGAUGUGCCCAGAAAAGAGUUUCCUUUCCUUCCUAAAGAUGGUGCUUCCUGCAGCUACUGGGGAAGCCUGCAGCGUUCUCUAGGGCUCUGUGUGUUGAGAACAGCCCCACCCUGGCCCCUUCUGAGUGCAUUUCUGCUUUGUGACUUGAUCCGUGAGGUCCCCUGAGAUGGGCAGAGAGGAUGUCCUCGAAGCUGGGGCAGAGCCUCAUCCUUGAACGUGAAGGACGUUUGAAGACUGGCAUGAUCAUGGGAUGAGAUCACAGGGAACUUGAGUUUCUUUCCUCCUCUCCCUUCACAGUUAUUUCACUGAGGGAAAUCCCUCCCCUGCCCAGAAUGAAAACUCUAGCCAACUCUUGACUUUUCCAUCACUCCAAAGUAGUUGAAAGUACUUUAGUCUCCACAGUGGCAAAACACAGUGUGCAAAGGCUAAAUAAUUAGAACAGCCAGUCCCAUGUGACAGUCAAAGCUUCUAACUCCAUUCACAGUUGCAGCCAUUCCCCUCGGGGGGCUGGCAGGGAGGGGAGGGGUAAGAGAAACAGGAAGGUUCUUACUGAGUUGGUCCUGGUGUGAGCUGUGUCACACUCCCUGCAGAGGUUUCAAGGAGACUGUCUCUCUCUCCAUGGGGACCUUAUUUGAAUUCUUCUAGACUCUUCCCCCAGCCUGCCAUCUCCAGCUAUCCUCCCUUGAAGAGCCCUUCCACUGCGCUGGAUUCUGGUGGCCAUGUCAUCUCCUCAGCCCCGUGGGAGUCUGAAGAUCUGGCUGCAGCCUCACCUCUGAGGUCCUGCUGACUGCCACCUCUUAGACAUGAUCUGAGGCUCCCAGGCACUCUGACCUGUGCCCACAUGGGGCCCACGGGAAACACGCUGGCAAGCAAACUGUGGGUGUGCGGACGGUUCUCAGGGCUGCAGCACCUGUCCUUUGCUGUGCCCCCAAAGCAAGAGGCCAGCCCAUCUUCCAUCCUCUAGUGUUCCUUGGUGGGGCCCUGACCAUAGUCCACCAGGUCCCUAAGCAGAGGGGACACACACCAGGUGUCCUCAAUGUAUUGCCUUGAAACAGUUGUGCUGGGACUGUGAUGGGGGGUGGCCAUGUAGCCACUCCCACCACCCCCAAGCCACUCUUUCCACGGAAAUCCUCCUAAAGAUCCCUUUACACCCUCCAUGUGGUGGGGAGGUUCUAGAGUUGGGUGCAUGUGUCUUCAGCUACUGAUAAUGCAGACCUUAGUUGGCACCUCGCUCUGGCCUAUUCUGUUUGCUGUUCUUGGUGCUCCAGUGAAACUCCCCAUGGGCCAUCCAGUUGGGGUGCAGUGUGGCCACCCCCUUGCAGGAUCCUGCCUUGCUGGAGAGCACAGGGCCCUCCUGGCUCUUGUAAAACACUCCCCAGGGUACAGAGAGGCCAGCGGUGAUGUGAGGCCCAACCUCCACCAUGCCCUCCCUCCCUCCUUGGUGUUUCCAAGCAGCUCCCUUUCUGGGGUCAAGGGGUGGCAAAGACAGCGCAGCCUCCAAUUUCUGACUCACGCCGGGCCUGGCUAUUGCAGCUCUGCACUGUGUGUGACAGCAAGGUGACUCAGCCAGUGCCAUGGCAGUGACGGUGUCGGGGGAAGCCUCCUCACGCCCUCUGUCUCAAGGACUCUGGCAUUUAGCUGGACUUGCUGUCGCUCUGAGCCUUUCUGCCAUUGCCAUCACCUUGUCAGAAACUCAGGCCGAAUCUGCACUCAGAGUUGUGCCCAGGCAGUUGAGCCAACACUCGCUCAGCAAUAUUGUCACAUGACAAGGCACUGUCACCACUGGGCCUCGUGGGCAGCACAGUGUCGGCUGGAUGGAUCUGGAGGGUGUCUGUGUCAUGCUAGUGCUAGUGAUGGGAGCCCCGUGAGCCCAUUGCCCGCCCUCCCAUCCCCUCAGCAGCUGCCUGGGGACAGCCAAUGGCCUGGGUGUUUAUGAGGCUACCACAUGGCUGCCAGGAAACUCAAGAACCUUUCCCUUGCCUACACUCUUCACACAGGCCUGUGCUGGCCAGCGGUGGGGAUCCGGCAUUCCUGUCUUAGGUGCGGAGAGUGACUGACUCAUUUCAGGCCUGGGAGAUAAGACUGAUGGCCCAGCCAGCGAGAUGUAUGCAUUUCUCAGAGGCAGUGGCCUCUGUCAUUGUCCUCAGGAAAUGCUGGUGAUUCUGGUGGCCUGAGGUCAAUGCAUGUCAACAUGGCCAACUUGCCUUAUAAACUUUUUUUCUGGACAGUUGCGUGCAUUGUCCUGUAACAGUGUCCUGCUGUUUAUGAUGCAGAAAUAGGUGUUUUUAAAGCCUAUUGAUUUUGGUACUAUUAAUGUGGUCAGGAACUUUCUCAGUCUUUCUUGUUUGGGGUGAGCUGUGGCUUCCUAAACAGGAACCCAAGACACCCCCAAAAGCUGCUCACCAGCACUGCCAGCCUCCCUCUUACCAAGUAGUACCCAUUCAGGGCAUUCUGUGAAAGGCAUUUGCCCAGAAGUUGGGAGGAAGGAAAUGUAACAUUUUGGGGCACCUACCAUAUGCCAGGCACCAGGCUAAACGUGUUCACACAAAUUCUCUUACUAACCCUCACCAUCCUUCUACAAGACAAACUAGUAUCUUCAUCUUGGGGUUCUAGAUGAGGAAAUGGAGGCUCAGAGAGGUUGAAUGAAUGCUGGUGCCUGGACAUGAACCCCAUCUGCCUGACUCCGCAACGCAGGCAAAGUCUUUCCUUGAACUUCCCAGCAGCCACUGCUUAGACCCAGCCUCCAUGACCAUGGCUCAGCAACAAAUUGCUUCUCUGACCUCACUCAGCCUGUGUCCUUGUUGAGUGAGGCAUUCAGUACCCUGGUCCCAAAGUGGAGAAAGUCUUUCCUACUGGGUCAUAGCUACACCUACAUGUGGGUGCUGUGCAUUUUGUUUAGUGAACUUUUAUCACCAGCAUCCUCAGCAAUGACAUUUGCAGAGAAGCCAGAGCUGAGGCAUCUUGGUAUUCUUGGGAUGUGACUUUCCUGAAUGUUUUAGGGAAAAUACCCGAAGAUACAGAGAGCUUGGUUUCUAGUAAACAAUAACUGUCUUGCUUUUACCCCCCUUCAUUUGCUGACACAUACACCAGCUGAAGAAGCAGGCAUUGGAGACACCCCCAGCCUGGAAGACGAAGCUGCUGGUCACGUGACCCAAGCUCGCAUGGUCAGUAAAAGCAAAGACGGGACUGGAAGCGAUGACAAAAAAGCCAAGGGGGCUGAUGGUAAAACGAAGAUCGCCACACCGCGGGGAGCAGCCCCUCCAGGCCAGAAGGGCCAGGCCAACGCCACCAGGAUUCCAGCAAAAACCCCGCCUGCUCCAAAGACACCACCCAGCUCUGGUGAACCUCCAAAAUCAGGGGAUCGCAGCGGCUACAGCAGCCCCGGCUCCCCAGGCACUCCCGGCAGCCGCUCCCGCACCCCGUCCCUUCCAACCCCACCCACCCGGGAGCCCAAGAAGGUGGCGGUGGUCCGUACUCCACCCAAGUCGCCGUCUUCCGCCAAGAGCCGCCUGCAGACAGCCCCCGUGCCCAUGCCAGACCUGAAGAACGUCAAGUCCAAGAUCGGCUCCACUGAGAACCUGAAGCACCAGCCGGGAGGCGGGAAGGUGCAAAUAGUCUACAAACCAGUUGACCUGAGCAAGGUGACCUCCAAGUGUGGCUCAUUAGGCAACAUCCAUCAUAAACCAGGAGGUGGCCAGGUGGAAGUAAAAUCUGAGAAGCUUGACUUCAAGGACAGAGUCCAGUCGAAGAUUGGGUCCCUGGACAAUAUCACCCACGUCCCUGGCGGAGGACAUAAAAAGAUUGAAACCCACAAGCUGACCUUCCGUGAGAACGCCAAAGCCAAGACAGACCACGGGGCAGAAAUCGUGUACAAGUCGCCAGUGGUGUCUGGGGACACGUCUCCACGGCAUCUCAGUAAUGUCUCCUCCACCGGCAGCAUCGACAUGGUAGACUCGCCCCAGCUCGCCACGCUAGCCGAUGAGGUGUCUGCCUCCCUGGCCAAGCAGGGUUUGUGAUCAGGCCCCUGGGGCGGUCAAUAAUAGUGGAGAGGAGAGAGUGAGAGAGUGUGGAAAAAAAAAGAAUAAUGACCCGGUCCCCGCCCUCUGCCCCCAGCUGCUCCUCGCAGUUCGGUUAAUCGGUUAAUCACUUAACCUGCUUUUGUCGCUCGGCUUUGGCUCGGGACUUCAAAAUCAGUGAUGGGAAUAAGAGCAAAUUUCAUCUUUCCAAAUUGAUGGGUGGGCUAGUAAUAAAAUAUUUAAAAAAAAAAAAAACAUUCAAAAA